UUUAAAUCAAUUGACUACAAGCAGCAAGAGAUGCGGCGUCUAAAUGCAGUGAGGGAGUAAGUCUCUAGAUAAGGCCACUUGGGAAAAGAGUGUCUGUUAAUGAAAGACAGGCUCUGCCGUGUCUAUCGGCCUACCAAGGACUGUGUGAGAGAGAGGAAGGGCAUUGACUGUUUAUAUAUGCAUAUUCUGCAUCAAAGUGCAGGCAUCCUGCUAUAGCCACACCCAACUCUGGUCUCCUAUGUAGUUUUUAUAGACUAGAAAACAGCUUAGGACAGCAGUUCUGUCUCUCUCGCUCUCUUUUCUGCUCCUCCCUACUCUCCUUUCCCCUUUCUCAUAUUUCUUUAAUCUCCCCCUCUCCACUCUCUACCCUCUCUCUCUCUUUCCAGGGUCUCAUUUAGAUCUGUUCCACACUCCUCCCUCCUCCCCCUCUGAUUCUGACCUGGCUGCAGCUCUGGCCUUGGCUCCAGCUGCGGCUCAGCUGCUGCAGCAGGGGACACCGUCCUCUGGGGCUACCGGAGGUAUCGUCUGCCAGGGUGGAGCUUCCCCCUCCACCAACUCCAAUUGGAGCCACACGCUGUCUGUCCCGCCAGAAUGGGCUGUGAUUAGCCUAGAGAGUGGUGCAUCGACGCAGGGAACAGGGGUGGAAAUGGACGGUGAAAGGCGACCAAGGAGGUGCUCCAGCAGCCACAACAACCACAGCAGCAGCCCUGUUUCCCCAGCCCAAGAGUCUCCGUCGGAUCGUAGCCCUUUGGAGCAGAGCUGGCAGGACCGGGACAGUGGGCUGGAGCCCCAGGCAGGGCCAGAGAGGGCUAGGGAGGAGAUGGCCCUGGCUCUGCUGAACCUGCUGGAACAUCACAGGUCCACACUGGGGCUCAGUCCCGGCCUGGACGCGCCAGCAGGAGCAGCCGAGCUGCUGAGGCGGUUGAUGGUGGAGAGAGAGGUGCUGGUUGAGGAGGUGCGCAGCCUGAAGGACACACUGAGGACUGAGCGAGCUGAGUGGCACCAGUUCCAGUGCGAUCUGCAGGUGGCGGUGUCUGUGGCCGACCGGCUGCGCAUGGAGGCGGAGGAGACUCUGGGCAACCUCAGAGAGAGCCACGGGGAACUGGAGGGCCAGCUGGCCCAGGCCCACUGCAGACAGCAGGACACAGACAGGGAACUGGAGAGCCUGAGUGCUGAACACAGAGAGGCCUGUCACAGACUGUCUGCUCUCACCCUGGAACACCAACGUACCAUGGCUGAGCUGGAGACACUGAGACGCAUGCAGACAGAGAGAGGGAAGGACUCACACAGUCACAGAGAGAUGGAGGGAAGAGACACAGAAGAGAGGCCGGCUGGUGAAGACAUAAAUGAGGUGGAGGCGCUGGAUGGGGAGGAAAGAGAGGAUUCAGAAAGGGAAGUGGAAGGAGAGAAAAUAAUAAAUAGUGAGGGAGUGGAUAUUAAGAUGGGAGGGCAGUCUCCUGAGGAGCUUGUUAGUGGAGGGGAGAACCUGCUCAAAGGGAAGGGGGUGGCAGAGACGUACCUACGGAAUUUGGUUGCAGCUGGAGAGAAGGGGUGCGGCUUAAGAGAUCCACGGAGGAUCGUGAUGAUGUCAGAGCGUUCCAGGUGAGAGCCUCAUACCUGUAUGAUGCACUAGCACAGUGGUCACCAACCGGUCGAUCGCCAAGGCCUUCCCAGUUACUCACUUUUGUAAAAAAAAACAACGAUAAAGCCUUGCAUUCCUAUUUUUUAA
This is a long non-coding RNA of Oncorhynchus tshawytscha (Chinook salmon), 1729 nucleotides long. The record is from Ensembl. Lineage: Eukaryota; Metazoa; Chordata; Actinopteri; Salmoniformes; Salmonidae.